RNAcentral lists this ribosomal RNA (482 nucleotides) under uncultured organism. RNAcentral describes it as "bacterial SSU rRNA". It matches the Rfam family "Bacterial small subunit ribosomal RNA", at positions 434 to 917 of the family's 1533-position model. The record is from RNAcentral.
UUUUGUCGGAGAGUAAAGUACGCUACGUGUAGUGUAUUGCAAGUAUCCGAAGAAAAAGCAUCGGCUAACUCCGUGCCAGCAGCCGCGGUAAUACGGAGGAUGCAAGCGUUAUCCGGAUUUAUUGGGUUUAAAGGGUGCGUAGGCGGCACGCCAAGUCAGCGGUGAAAUUUCCGGGCUCAACCCGGAGUGUGCCGUUGAAACUGGCGAGCUAGAGUACACAAGAGGCAGGCGGAAUGCGUGGUGUAGCGGUGAAAUGCAUAGAUAUCACGCAGAACCCCGAUUGCGAAGGCAGCCUGCUAGGGUGAAACAGACGCUGAGGCACGAAAGCGUGGGUAUCGAACAGGAUUAGAUACCCUGGUAGUCCACGCAGUAAACGAUGAGUACUAACUGUUUGCGAUACAAUGUAAGCGGUACAGCGAAAGCGUUAAGUAUUCCACCUGGGGAGUACGCCGGCAACGGUGCAACUCAAAUGAAUUGACGGA